CGCGCAGGCGGUCGAAUAAGUCGAAUGUGAAAGCCCCCGGCUCAACUGGGGAGGGUCAUUCGAUACUGCUCGACUCGAAGGCAGGAGAGGGAAGCGGAAUUCCCGGUGUAGUGGUGAAAUGCGUAGAUAUCGGGAGGAACACCAGUGGCGAAGGCGGCUUUCUGGCCUGUUCUUGACGCUGAGGCGCGAAAGCCAGGGGAGCAAACG
Molecule: ribosomal RNA, 207 nt
Filed under: uncultured bacterium
Lineage: Bacteria
Description: partial 16S ribosomal RNA
Rfam family: Bacterial small subunit ribosomal RNA
Source: RNAcentral